RNAcentral lists this ribosomal RNA (369 nucleotides) under uncultured bacterium. RNAcentral's name for it is "bacterial SSU rRNA". It matches the Rfam family "Bacterial small subunit ribosomal RNA", at positions 144 to 507 of the family's 1533-position model. The record is from RNAcentral.
UAACGUAGCGAAAAGCUACGCUAUACCGCAUACGAUCUAUGGAUGAAAGCGGGGGAUCGCAAGACCUCGCGCGAUUGGAGCGGCCGAUAUCAGAUUAGGUAGUUGGUGAGGUAAAGGCUCACCAAGCCGACGAUCUGUAGCUGGUCUGAGAGGACGACCAGCCACACUGGGACUGAGACACGGCCCCAGACUCCUACGGGAGGCAGCAGUGGGGAAUUUUGGACAAUGGGCGCAAGCCUGAUCCAGCAAUGCCGCGUGCAGGAUGAAGGCCUUCGGGUUGUAAACUGCUUUUGUACGGAACGAAACGGUGAGCUCUAAUACAGUUUGCUAAUGACGGUACCGUAAGAAUAAGCACCGGCUAACUACGUG